AUGCAACACUUCCGCGGUGAUUGCCCCUUCUCCCGCCUAGUGUGGCAUGAGAUUCUCUCAUGGUGUAGACUUCCUACCUCCAUCCCCUCCAGAGAUGUCCCAUUCCUCAACUGGUGGGCGGCCUCCUUCCUCUUGACUCCCAUGGCUAUGCACAAGGGAUUCACCUCCAUUGUCUCCCUCACCGCAUGGUGGGUGUGGAAGCAUAGGAACAGCUGCUCCUUCGAUGGCCGGAGCCCCUCCAUCAGCAUUAUGACUGACGCCAUCCGUGACGAGGCACGUCUGUGGGCCAGAGUAGGGCCGACCGGCUUGCUAGGCAUCCUGCCCUGA
This 327-nucleotide ribosomal RNA is filed under the name Triticum aestivum (bread wheat). Its description in RNAcentral is "partial small subunit ribosomal RNA". Lineage: Eukaryota; Viridiplantae; Streptophyta; Magnoliopsida; Poales; Poaceae. The record is from RNAcentral.